GCAACACAGUCAGUAUUGCUCUACUCUCGUAUUGAUUUUGUUUCUUUCAAAAAAUAACUACAUAAAACCCUAAAACACGACAGCAUCCAUCCCAUUGUCAAUUUAAUGUUUUUUUUUUCAAUAACGAGCCUAUUGGUCGGAAUUGGAUCGAUAUAUCUCAUAUGACUUGGAUAAAGGAAUCGGUUGAUAGGAUCUUAAUUACCAGUCAUCACGAAGCUCGUUUGUGAAGGAAGGAAAUGCAUCACGCUGCCUUUCUUUUCCCCGUAGCCUUCCCCCUCAUCUUCUCCCAUAGCCUUCCUCCUCAUCUUCUUUCCAUCCCUCCCGACUGCACCCAGCCAGCAGGCAGCAUCACAGAGCCACUUCCGUGUGUGCGACAUGCUGCAGAUUGACCCAGGCUUGGACUAGGUGUUGUAGCUCCCCGCCCAUCCAAGUUUGUACCUUCAAAUGAUCCCCUUGAAAGGAAAUUACGUUACAAGUUGGAUGCCGCAAGAAGAAAUGCUGCUAAAAUUGCGGAGGAGUCCACACUAGCUGCUAAAGAUGAUGAUGAAGAAGACAGCAGAACUAGUGCCUUUGCAAAGAAAAGACCAGCAACUCUAGUUCAUGAGAAAUGUUAGUUAUUAUUUUAUUUUUUUUGGAAGCUGAGAAAUGCCAGUUUGUGUUUAUGUAAUUAUAUGAUAUGGGAGGCAAAUGAGCUGCAUUGCACAACAUUGUUGUAUAAAUUAAGUCACUUUCUUAAAACCUGACAUAAUUUUUUGUUAUUAUUAAAGAGGCUUGUGUGUUUGC
Molecule: small RNA, 783 nt
Filed under: Malus domestica (apple)
Lineage: Eukaryota; Viridiplantae; Streptophyta; Magnoliopsida; Rosales; Rosaceae
Description: sRNA MD11G0134600
Source: RNAcentral